CCCUUCCGUUAAUCAUUCUGAACGGUGCCCAGGACUCUCAAUGGGUAGGAAGCUGCUCUUUGCCAGGAAAAGAAAUAACCUUCAGAGAGAAGGAAAGUCCAGUUCCCCAGGCCCUGAGAAUCCUUCAUGCUUCCCUGACCCUCUUGGUUACAAGCCUGGUAACUAUUUCUUUGACAUUGGUAACUAUUCUGUGUGAGUCUUGCCUCCCAACCCUCUUUCUCCAUAAAACAUUCCUGGCUCCAAACCUCUUUCCCUAGUCAAACCACAGAGACUGAUGUUAAAGAAGGAGGAAAGUCUUGCCUAAGGUGAGUUCCCAUAGCAGCGGACAUAGGUCAAGGUUCCCUCUACCCGGGGAUUAUUUGUAUAUAAGUCCUGACUGGAUCAGUU
RNAcentral lists this long non-coding RNA (387 nucleotides) under Phascolarctos cinereus (koala). Its description in RNAcentral is "lncRNA (ENSPCIG00000029483.2)". Lineage: Eukaryota; Metazoa; Chordata; Mammalia; Diprotodontia; Phascolarctidae. The record is from RNAcentral.